Molecule: long non-coding RNA, 1266 nt
Organism: Morus notabilis
Lineage: Eukaryota; Viridiplantae; Streptophyta; Magnoliopsida; Rosales; Moraceae
Exons: 3
Source: RefSeq, a predicted model, not a curated record
UCGUUUUUCUCUUCUUUCACAUUUAUGAUCCAAAUUAUUUGUCUUUUCUGUGGGUUCAUGGUUUCUGAAGCGUUCCUACUCAGCCCUAAAGGUUUGCUUUUGUGUUUUCUCUUCUUAUGUUUACUUUUUCUGGUCAUCUUGUUUAUUCUGGGUAUCAAUUUAGUUUCUGAUUGUAUUUACCUUGUUUUGGGAAAAGUAUUUGGACAAUUCACAAUGGGGACAAGUGAGUAGUAGUUUUUGUAAAACUUCUGCAAUUUUUGUUGAGGCCCUAUCUUUCUUAAGGUGAUAACUUACUGGUGCAUUUUCGUUGUUACAAGUCAGGGAGUGUACAUAACAAGAGGAUCUGGCGAUCAACUCCAUAUUUUACUUAGAACUUUACUUGAACGAGGAAUUCUUGAGCCAUGAAGAGGGAGAGAGAUUUUUUGUUUUGGUUUUGUUUUCUUUUUGAUUUUUUAAUGCUGUGUUCGUCCCAAUUCAGUGUCCUCAUCGUCAUUUUCGUUGUAGGUAAACUUGCCUCCCGUUAUUCACCAAGCGAUGGAGAGAGAGAAAGGAGAGAAGAAAAGGAAAUGUAAAAAGGAGCGAGAGAGUAAAAAAGGCAAAUGAUACAGGGAAAACAUAGAAUGAAGAGUAAAAACAAAAACCAUCAUUUCCUAAGCCAUGAAGAGAGAGAAAGAGAGAGAGGAAAAGGUAUAAAAGAGUGAGACGAAAAUAAGGUAAAUGAAGUAGGGAAAAAUGUUUAUGGCAUUUGGAUCGAAUGGUUCGGGGGCUAUGAGAACAGAGAGAAGAAAAGGAAAUGUAAAAAGGAGUGAGAGAGGAAAAAAGGAAAAUGAUAUAGGGAAAACAAAGAAUGAAGAGUGAAAAGGAAAAUCGUCAUUUCCUAAGCCAUGAAGAGAGAGAAAGAGGGAAAGGAAAGGUAAAAAAGAGAGACGAAAAAAUGUAGUGAAAAUGGUUUAUGGCAUUUGGAUGGAAUGGUUCGGGCUAUGAGAAAGUGUUGUUGAGGGAAGAGUUUGCGCUUAGUUAGGCACAUUGAGAGUGAUGGCCAUCAGAAAUGAAGUUGGAUUUUUGGUCUGCUUGAUGCCGUUGUCGCUUACGUGUCCCUGAUCAGACCAGGGUCAGGGAGUGAACUUAACAAGAGGAUUUGGCGAUCAACUCCAUAUUUUAUUUAGAACUUUAUUUGAACGAGGAAUUCUUAAGCCAUGAAGAGGGAGAGAGAUUUGUUCUUUUGGUUUUGUUUUCUUUUUGAUCUCUUAAUGCUGUGUUCGUCCC